Non-coding RNA from Triticum aestivum (bread wheat), 187 nucleotides. The record is from Rfam. NCBI's taxonomy places the organism in Eukaryota, Viridiplantae, Streptophyta, Magnoliopsida, Poales, Poaceae.
CAAAUACUCCCUCCGUCCAGAAAUACUUGUCAUCAAAAUGGAUAAAAGGAAAUGUAUCUAGACGUAUUUUAGUUUUAGAUACAUCUCUUUUUAUNAAAAGGAAAUGUAUCUAGACGUAUUUUAGUUUUAGAUACAUCUCUUUUUAUCCAUUUUGAUGACAAGUAUUUUCGAACGGAGGGAGUAGAAA